GACGAACGCUGGCGGCGUGCUUAACACAUGCAAGUCGAACGGAAAGGCCCUGCUUUUGUGGGGUGCUCGAGUGGCGAACGGGUGAGUAACACGUGAGUAACCUGCCCUUGACUUUGGGAUAACUUCAGGAAACUGGGGCUAAUACCGGAUAGGAGCUCCUGCUGCAUGGUGGGGGUUGGAAAGUUUCGGCGGUUGGGGAUGGACUCGCGGCUUAUCAGCUUGUUGGUGGGGUAGUGGCCUACCAAGGCUUUGACGGGUAGCCGGCCUGAGAGGGUGACCGGCCACAUUGGGACUGAGAUACGGCCCAGACUCCUACGGGAGGCAGCAGUGGGGAAUAUUGCACAAUGGGCGGAAGCCUGAUGCAGCAACGCCGCGUGCGGGAUGACGGCCUUCGGGUUGUAAACCGCUUUCGCCUGUGACGAAGCGUGAGUGACGGUAAUGGGUAAAGAAGCACCGGCUAACUACGUGCCAGCAGCCGCGGUGAUACGUAGGGUGCGAGCGUUGUCCGGAUUUAUUGGGCGUAAAGGGCUCGUAGGUGGUUGAUCGCGUCGGAAGUGUAAUCUUGGGGCUUAACCCUGAGCGUGCUUUCGAUACGGGUUGACUUGAGGAAGGUAGGGGAGAAUGGAAUUCCUGGUGGAGCGGUGGAAUGCGCAGAUAUCAGGAGGAACACCAGUGGCGAAGGCGGUUCUCUGGGCCUUUCCUGACGCUGAGGAGCGAAAGCGUGGGGAGCGAACAGGCUUAGAUACCCUGGUAGUCCACGCUGUAAACGGUGGGUACUAGGUGUGGGGUCCACUCCACGGGUUCCGUGCCGUAGCUAACGCUUUAAGUACCCCGCCUGGGGAGUACGGCCGCAAGGCUAAAACUCAAAGGAAUUGACGGGGCCCCGCACAAGCGGCGGAGCAUGCGGAUUAAUUCGAUGCAACGCGUAGAACCUUACCUGGGUUUGACAUGGAUCGGGAGCGCUCAGAGAUGGGUGUGCCUCUUUUGGGGUCGGUUCACAGGUGGUGCAUGGCUGUCGUCAGCUCGUGUCGUGAGAUGUUGGGUUAAGUCCCGCAACGAGCGCAACCCUUGUUCACUGUUGCCAGCACGUUAUGGUGGGGACUCAGUGGAGACCGCCGGGGUCAACUCGGAGGAAGGUGGGGAUGACGUCAAGUCAUCAUGCCCCUUAUGUCCAGGGCUUCACGCAUGCUACAAUGGCUGGUACAGAGAGUGGCGAGCCUGUGAGGGUGAGCGAAUCUCGGAAAGCCGGUCUCAGUUCGGAUUGGGGUCUGCAACUCGACCUCAUGAAGUCGGAGUCGCUAGUAAUCGCAGAUCAGCAACGCUGCGGUGAAUACGUUCCCGGGGCU
RNAcentral lists this ribosomal RNA (1346 nucleotides) under uncultured bacterium. RNAcentral describes it as "bacterial SSU rRNA". It matches the Rfam family "Bacterial small subunit ribosomal RNA", at positions 28 to 1381 of the family's 1533-position model. The record is from RNAcentral.